UACAGAGGGGGCAAGCGUUGUUCGGAAUUACUGGGCGUAAAGGGCGCGUAGGCGGCCUGUUAAGUCGAACGUGAAAUCCCUCGGCUUAACCGGGGAACUGCGUCCGAUACUGGUUGGCUUGAGUUUGGGAGAGGGAUGCGGAAUUCCAGGUGUAGCGGUGAAAUGCGUAGAUAUCUGGAGGAACACCGGUGGCGAAGGCGGCAUCCUGGACCAAUACUGACGCUGAGGUGCGAAAGCGUGGGGAGCAAACAGG
RNAcentral lists this ribosomal RNA (253 nucleotides) under uncultured bacterium. Its description in RNAcentral is "partial 16S ribosomal RNA". It matches the Rfam family "Bacterial small subunit ribosomal RNA", at positions 524 to 776 of the family's 1533-position model. The record is from RNAcentral.